RNAcentral lists this transfer RNA (72 nucleotides) under Deltaproteobacteria bacterium. RNAcentral describes it as "tRNA-Thr". It matches the Rfam family "tRNA". From Rfam's summary of the family: Transfer RNA (tRNA) molecules are approximately 80 nucleotides in length. Lineage: Bacteria; Pseudomonadati; Myxococcota; Myxococcia. The record is from RNAcentral.
GCCACGGUAGCUCAGUGGUAGAGCAACUGAUUCGUAAUCAGUAGGUCGAGAGUUCGAUUCUCUCUCGUGGCU